UACGUAGGGUGCAAGCGUUAAUCGGAAUUACUGGGCGUAAAGCGUGCGCAGGCGGUUUUGUAAGCCAGAUGUGAAAUCCCCGGGCUUAACCUGGGAAUGGCAUUUGGGACUGCAAGGCUUGAGUGCGGCAGAGGAGACUGGAAUUCCUGGUGUAGCGGUGAAAUGCGUAGAUAUCUGGAGGAACACCGGUGGCGAAGGCGGCAUCCUGGACCGGGAUUGACACUGAGGCGCGAAAGCCAGGGGAGCAAACGGG
RNAcentral lists this ribosomal RNA (253 nucleotides) under uncultured bacterium. RNAcentral describes it as "partial 16S ribosomal RNA". It matches the Rfam family "Bacterial small subunit ribosomal RNA", at positions 524 to 776 of the family's 1533-position model. The record is from RNAcentral.